This 184-nucleotide ribosomal RNA is filed under the name Salmonella enterica subsp. enterica serovar Muenchen. RNAcentral's name for it is "partial 23S ribosomal RNA". It matches the Rfam family "Bacterial large subunit ribosomal RNA", at positions 1 to 176 of the family's 2925-position model. The record is from RNAcentral. Lineage: Bacteria; Pseudomonadati; Pseudomonadota; Gammaproteobacteria; Enterobacterales; Enterobacteriaceae. RNAcentral also lists the same sequence under 2 other names.
GGGUUGUGAGGUUAAGCGACUAAGCGUACACGGUGGAUGCCCUGGCAGUCAGAGGCGAUGAAGGGCGUGCUAAUCUGCGAUAAGCGCCGGUAAGGUGAUAUGAACCGUUAUAACCGGCGAUACCCGAAUGGGGAAACCCAGUGUGAUUCGUCACACUAUCAUUAACUGAAUCCAUAGGUUAAUG